UCUAGAAAACCUUUAAAAAACUGUUGUGUGUCAAGUGCCUGGCCUGCACAGCUAUUUCUUUUAUGGAGAGAUAAACCCACUCUGUUCUGCUCCGGGCUUGAUUGAAACCCUCCUCCCUGCUGGUCUGACUCUCACACACCAAGCCAGGAUUUCUGCUGCCCUAGCACUUCCCUGUGUCAGGUCCCGGGCCACUGGAGGUCAGUCCUCCAGCUCCACUCCCAUCUUCCAGGGUUGGCCUGGUGGGACAGGAAUGAUCAAGACAGUUUUUGCUUUCCUGCCCUGGAGCUUUCCCGCCCUGGAGCCUUCCUGCAAACCAGGAAAUAAUAUGAGAACACCUCUGACUCCGCCCUUAAACGGUUCAAGUCUGGCCACGCAGCCACCAAAUCUGCCAUUUCUCCUGGGUCCCCAGAGGCUGUGCAGUGCCUUUCCUUUGCAGCGAAAGAAAAACCUUUGGAGCUGCCGGCAAAAAGGGUGAAGCCAAGAUCAUAGAAAAGGCUACCCAGCCCUCAACCCACCUCUGCUCUUUGGGACUCCCCCAAUCCAGACUUCUGUAAGCUGUGUGUCACCCCCAUGAGGUGCAGUUCCAAGCAACAUUCCUGGGCGGACAUUCCUCAUCACUUGCAGGGCAUGUUCUCUACCAAUCUCAAAGGACAAAUUGAUCAGCUCCAGCUUGAGUUCUACCAGCUGCUCAGUAACAUCAAACACCUGACUGAACAGAAAGUGAUCCAGACCUUCCAUGAUGAUCUACAAUGGAUUGUUCCUAAGAACUUGUUCAAUGGACUGAAUUUAUGGGUUUGGGUCAUGGCAGCCCUUGGGUGCCUCCUUGUCUUUCUCCUUAUUUGUGUUUUACCAUGUAUAUGAAGAUUUUGUUCUGGAGAUUGCUUUUGGAAACAGCAAAUAGUAGGUUUCACAGGCUUAACAACUACAAUUGUGCUCAUAAACCAAAAAGGGGGAGAUGUUGGGAACCACCCUGCCUGGUUUCAGAAGCUGUACCCUCCCAUGGCUAAGGCUAAGUAAAAAGAACUUGGGACCACAAGCCAUUAUGGAGACAAAGCUUAUCCUCCUGUCAGGGGAAGAUCCUCUGCCCCCUUUAUUUCACCCUGCUUGGCCCGGGCGGAUGACUGGUUAGCCAAUGACGGGUAAGACUCCUCAGAGGAGGGGCAACCUAAGACAGGCACAGUCGCAAAGGGCCAUCAAGGGAAGGACAUCAGAUGACUGGUUAGCCAAUGACGGGUAAGACUCCUCAGAGGAGGGGCAACCUAAGACAGGCACAGUCGCAAAGGGGCCCUAAGGGAAGGGCUCAGGGGGCUAUACAAAAUGGUGGUCAUGGACCCUUGCUUCUUGGCUUUGACAUAGCCUGAGUCCUCAUUCUGUCUGCAAGAAGUCUCCUGAUCUCUUGGCUGCCAACAUCCCUCACCUGAUUUUAAGCCUGAAACAAUGUCAGAGGGAGGUGUGGCCCUGUACUAGAAUGGGCGGUUCCCUGGGGCAACCAGGCCUGAGAAACAAUGCAAAAAAUCUUGUGAAACCUGCUUUGCUAAGAUUAUACUCAAUUUAAAUGGUAAGGGUCCAAGCAUAAAAUGAGCUUGUUUCCCAAAGUUUUUUGGCCAUUUGGCUAUCUGACCCUGUCUCAGAAUAAGCCUUCAUAGUGCUUUGAAUGUUACCAUUUUUUGGAUCAUUACUGCCUGACAAGGAUUGAUGAGCUUUACAUAUAUGUCCUGUAUUCCUAUGCAAAUUAAACCCAAUAAAAGUCCAUUGAGCAACAGA
Molecule: long non-coding RNA, 1764 nt
Organism: Artibeus jamaicensis (Jamaican fruit-eating bat)
Lineage: Eukaryota; Metazoa; Chordata; Mammalia; Chiroptera; Phyllostomidae
Exons: 2
Source: RefSeq, a predicted model, not a curated record